Molecule: non-coding RNA, 92 nt
Organism: Mycena vulgaris
Lineage: Eukaryota; Fungi; Basidiomycota; Agaricomycetes; Agaricales; Mycenaceae
Source: the annotation of a GenBank genome assembly
GCCCUCGUCGAUCAAUGGAGAUCACCCACGCUCACUACAUGGUGCUCAGACGUGUACGGUGGGUAGAGGGGGUUCGAAUCCCCCCGAGGGCG